UUUACAGACAGCAGUCGAACUCUACUGAAGCCUCUGAACAGAAAGAAAAUUCUGACAAUGUAAGCCUUUUCCUCAGCUGAGGAACAUUGCCGGUGUCACCACUCCAGACUGUGUCCUGAACGUGGCCUCAACUGGACAGUUCUGCCAUGCACGACACAUUUCCUCCUUUGAAGAAUUCCAGAUUGGUCCUGUAGGGUGUCACUCAACGUUUAUAGGCCCAGGAAAAGGAUCAAAAUUCUAUACUUUCUGUAAAAGGAUACUUCCCAAGAUGACUGUAGUGAACGUACAAAGGUGCAGGACAAGUAUUAGAUUUUGUGAAGCAGCUUCGUAAGCAUGUUUCCUCAACAGAAGAGAGAAGUCCCACUCUUUAUGCGGACAUACAAGAGAUAACCACAGAAUCUGUCUUGGAGUGAAGAAGACAAAAUAUUUACCAGCUCUCAUGUCAUGAAUUUUGAUUGGGUUUUAGUCAUGGUUGUGAUCCCAAGUAUGGUGAAAAUUAACAAAGAAAAAUAGAAACACUUGAACAAUGCAUACAUAAAAACAAUGCAUACAUGUUUCAUUAAACUAAACUAAAAAGAUUAUAUUUUUCCAUAAAGGUCCUGGGGAAUAAAUUGUGUACUUUAUGUGGAAGAGGAUUGAGAAGGUGGUAUCUUCAGUAAGCCUCUCUUAUCAGAACUGUGAAAUUCAUCAACU
This is a long non-coding RNA of Cavia porcellus (domestic guinea pig), 693 nucleotides long. RefSeq lists it as uncharacterized. Lineage: Eukaryota; Metazoa; Chordata; Mammalia; Rodentia; Caviidae. The record is from RefSeq and is a predicted model, not a curated record. The transcript is spliced from 3 exons.